GACAUGCUAGUCGCGUGCUUCAGCCAAAACGAGGCACGGCAAACAGCUCAGUAACACGUGGCUAAUCUGCCCUUAGGACAAGAAUACCCCCGGGAAACUGGGGCUAAUUCUCGAUAGGUGAAGAACUCUGGAAUGAGUCUUUGCCUAAAAGAGCUUACGUUAUGCUCGUAAGUUUCGCCUAAGGAUGAGGCCGCGACCGAUCAGGUUGUUGGUGAGGUAAUGGCUCACCAAGCCUUUUACCGGUGCGGGCCGUGAGAGCGGGAGCCCGGAGAUGGGCACUGAGACAAGGGCCCAGGCCCUACGGGGCGCAGCAGUCGCGAAAACUUUGCAAUACACGAAAGUGUGACAGGGCUAUCCCGAGUGCCAUCCGCUGAGGAAGGCUUUUACCCAGUCUAGAACGCUGGGGGAAUAAGGAGAGGGCAAGUCUGGUGUCAGCCGCCGCGGUAAUACCAGCUCUCCGAGUGGUGUGGAUGUUUAUUGGGCCUAAAGCAUCCGUAGCUGGCUAAGUUAGUCCUUUGUUAAAUCCACCGAAUUAAUCGUUGGAUCGCGGGGGAUACUGCUUGGCUAGGGGACGAGAGAGGCAGACGGUAUUUUUGGGGUAGGGGUGAAAUCCUAUAAUCCCAGGAAGACCACCAGUGGCGAAGGCUGUCUGCUAGAACGCGCCCGACGGUGAGGGAUGAAAGCUGGGGGAGCGAACCGGAUUAGAUACCCGGGUAGUCCCAGCUGUAAACGAUGCAGCUAGGUGUUUGGACGGCCACGUGCCGUUCUAGUGCCGCAGGAAAGCUGUUAAGCCUGCCGCCUGGGGAGUACGAUCGCAAGAUUGAAACUUAA
RNAcentral lists this ribosomal RNA (831 nucleotides) under uncultured crenarchaeote. RNAcentral's name for it is "bacterial SSU rRNA". It matches the Rfam family "Archaeal small subunit ribosomal RNA", at positions 48 to 859 of the family's 1478-position model. Lineage: Archaea; Thermoproteati; Thermoproteota. The record is from RNAcentral.